RNAcentral lists this ribosomal RNA (484 nucleotides) under uncultured bacterium. RNAcentral describes it as "partial 16S ribosomal RNA". It matches the Rfam family "Bacterial small subunit ribosomal RNA", at positions 30 to 507 of the family's 1533-position model. The record is from RNAcentral.
AUUGAACGCUGGCGGCAGGCCUAACACAUGCAAGUCGAGCGGCUGCAGGAAACUUGCUCCUCGCUUCAGCGGCGGAGGGGUGCGUAAUGGCUAGGAGUCUGGCUGUUCGUGUGGGAUAACGUCAAGACAUGGGCACUCAUACCGCAUACGUCCUGAGGGAGAGAGGGAAGGAUCUUCGGAUCUAACGCGCUCAGUUGAUACUAGGUUGGAUUAGCUAGUUGGUAGGGUAAAGGCCUACCAAGGCGACGAUCCGUAGCUGGUCUGAGAGGAUGAUCAGCCACACUGGAACUGAGAUACGGACCAGACUCCUACGGGAGGCAGCAGUGGGGAAUAUUGGACAAUGGGGGAAAGCCUGAUCCAGCGAUGCCGCGUGUGUGAAGAAGGCCUGAGGGUUGUAAAGCACUUUAGUUGGUGAGGAAAGGGGAUGCGUUAAUAGCGCGUUGAAGUGACGUUAGCCAAAGAAUAAGCACCGGCAAACUCCGUG